GACGAACGCUGGCGGCGUGCUUAACACAUGCGAGUCGAACGGAAAGGCCCUGCUUUUGUGGGGUGCUCGAGUGGCGAACGGGUGAGUAACACGUGAGUAACCUGCCCUUGACUUUGGGAUAACUUCAGGAAACUGGGGCUAAUACCGGAUAGGAGCUCCUGCUGCAUGGUGGGGGUUGGAAAGUUUCGGCGGUUGGGGAUGGACUCGCGGCUUAUCAGCUUGUUGGUGGGGUAGUGGCUUACCAAGGCUUUGACGGGUAGCCGGCCUGAGAGGUGACCGGCCACAUUGGGACUGAGAUACGGCCCAGACUCCUACGGGAGGCAGCAGUGGGGAAUAUUGCACAAUGGGCGGAAGCCUGAUGCAGCAACGCCGCGUGCGGGAUGACGGCCUUCGGGUUGUAAACCGCUUUCGCCUGUGACGAAGCGUGAGUGACGGUAAUGGGUAAAGAAGCACCGGCUAACUACGUG
RNAcentral lists this ribosomal RNA (467 nucleotides) under uncultured bacterium. Its description in RNAcentral is "partial 16S ribosomal RNA". It matches the Rfam family "Bacterial small subunit ribosomal RNA", at positions 28 to 507 of the family's 1533-position model. The record is from RNAcentral.